UAAAAUAUUCUUUUUUAGAGAAGAUUCACGGGUAUUGUCAUUCAAUCAUUCUCUGGUUCAUCAUUCUCACUUCUCUCUCCUCAUAUUUCCUUUCUCUCUCCUCGGAUCUUAGAACUCAAAAUGGCGAUUAACCCCUCUCGUUUCUCUGGUUUAUCUCUCUCAUCUUGGUUCAUCUCUCUCAUUUCUCUCUCCUCUUAUUUCCUUUCUCUUUCCUCAGAUCUGAGCAAUUAAAAUGGUCAAUUAAAAUGCGUUUAGGCGAUUACUAAACAACAAUAAACAAUUUGUCAAAACCAAAUUCUCUUUGCUGAAUCGACGAUUACCCAGAAAUGUUUAGCAUGUGAUAACUCAUUGAAGCGUUUUGCUGGGCGGGGCGUCAGACGGUCAGAGGCGACGGGCGAGGCGCUAGUCGAGGCAAUGGCGAGGCGCGGGGAGUGAGGGACAGCUGCUGCAAGCAGUGCUAUGGGGGUAGGCUGCGGUUUUUGCUGAAAUUGUUAAAAUGGCUCAAAAUUUAUGGUUUACCUGUCGCCUUGUUUAUGUUCCAGAGCCUGGGAAUCGGGAGAAGAUAUUACUUACGUCUAUCGGCGCGACUUAAAGAACAAUGAUGGAGUUUUUGGAACUGGUAUACUGAAUUACUGAUUUUAUGCAGAUUUUUUGUUUUAAUUUUCUUGGUUUAGACUGAUUUUGAUUUAAUUCAGUCGAAUGUCAAUUUGAUUUAAUUUGGCAAUUGUAAUAAUUUGUAAUAAGAUUUUCACAGCUGGGUCUUUGUGUGAUGUUCUUGGCUGGGUUUUGUGUGAUGUUCUUGGCUGGGUUUAUGCGUUAUUUUUUUAUCUGUGGGUAUAUGCGUUUUCUUGGCUGUGGGUUUAUGCGUGAUUUUCUUGGCUAUGGGUUUUAGCAAUUUUUCGUGGCUGGAUUUAUGGGUGAUACUUCCUUAUUUGCUUUUUAUUUUGACUUUAUUGACAGACUUUUCUGUAUUGGGAAAGAUUUCAGAAUUACAGGAUUCUUUCAUUUUCUUUUUUUAUCUUCCUUGCCUGAUUUCCUGAUUGAUUGACGUUUAAACAUAUUCCCUUCCCAAAAUAGAUUUUCAGUUUCAAAAUCAGUAAUUAAUCGAUUUUUAAAAAUAAUAGAUAAUCAGAA
This is a long non-coding RNA of Spinacia oleracea (spinach), 1134 nucleotides long. RefSeq lists it as uncharacterized. The transcript has 4 exons. Lineage: Eukaryota; Viridiplantae; Streptophyta; Magnoliopsida; Caryophyllales; Amaranthaceae. The record is from RefSeq and is a predicted model, not a curated record.